GUGGGGAAUUUUGGACAAUGGGGGCAACCCUGAUCCAGCCAUGCCGCGUGCGGGAAGAAGGCCUUCGGGUUGUAAACCGCUUUUAGCUGGGAAGAAAAGGCACGGGCCAAUACCCCGUGUUCUUGACGGUACCGGCGGAAUAAGCACCGGCUAACUACGUGCCAGCAGCCGCGGUAAUACGUAGGGUGCGAGCGUUAAUCGGAAUUACUGGGCGUAAAGCGUGCGCAGGCGGUUCGUUGUGUUUGCGGUGAAAGCCCCGGGCUCAACCUGGGAAUGGCCGUGAAAACUGGCGAGCUGGAGUGUGGCAGAGGGGGGUGGAAUUCCAGGUGUAGCAGUGAAAUGCGUAGAGAUCUGGAGGAACACCGAUGGCGAAGGCAGCCCCCUGGGCUGACACUGACGCUCAGGCACGAAAGCGUGGGGAGCAAACAGGAUUAGAUACCCCGGUAGUCC
This 450-nucleotide ribosomal RNA is filed under the name uncultured bacterium. RNAcentral describes it as "bacterial SSU rRNA". It matches the Rfam family "Bacterial small subunit ribosomal RNA", at positions 354 to 796 of the family's 1533-position model. The record is from RNAcentral.